Molecule: transfer RNA, 72 nt
Filed under: Ligilactobacillus ruminis ATCC 27782
Lineage: Bacteria; Bacillati; Bacillota; Bacilli; Lactobacillales; Lactobacillaceae
Description: Lactobacillus ruminis ATCC 27782 tRNA-Glu
Rfam family: tRNA
About the family: Transfer RNA (tRNA) molecules are approximately 80 nucleotides in length. Their secondary structure includes four short double-helical elements and three loops (D, anti-codon, and T loops).
Source: RNAcentral
CCCGUUGGUCAAGUGGUUAAGACACCGCCCUUUCACGGCGGUAACAUGGGUUCAAAUCCCGUACGGACCUUU